This 136-nucleotide small nuclear RNA is filed under the name Piliocolobus tephrosceles (Ugandan red Colobus). RNAcentral's name for it is "U1 spliceosomal RNA (ENSPTEG00000037900.1)". It matches the Rfam family "U1 spliceosomal RNA", at positions 30 to 166 of the family's 166-position model. From Rfam's summary of the family: U1 is a small nuclear RNA (snRNA) component of the spliceosome (involved in pre-mRNA splicing). Lineage: Eukaryota; Metazoa; Chordata; Mammalia; Primates; Cercopithecidae. The record is from RNAcentral.
ACACGAAUAUGCCAAACCUGUAAUCAGGGCGAAGCUUAUUUAUUUCAAUCCGGAUGUGCUGACCUCUGUGAUUUCCCCAAAUGUGGGAAACUUGACUGCAUAAUUUAGUGUGGGACUGGGUUCUCACUUCCUCAGG